CUGCCGUGUACAGGGGGAUAACAGCCGGAAACGGCUGCUAAUACCGCAUAUGCGCACAGUGCCGCAUGGCACAGGGCGGAAAGCCUAGAUCUUAUCUAGUACGGUACGCGAUGGGUCCGCGUCUGAUUAGGUAGUUGGCGGGGUAACGGCCCACCAAGCCCACGAUCAGUAGCCGGCCUGAGAGGGCGGACGGCCACACUGGGACUGAGACACGGCCCAGACUCCUGCGGGAGGCAGCAGUGGGGAAUAUUGCACAAUGGGGGGAACCCUGAUGCAGCGACGCCGCGUGAAGGAAGAAGUAUCUCGGUAUGUAAACUUCUAUCAGCAGGGAAGAAAGAGGACGGUACCUGACUAAGAAGCCCCGGCUAACUACGUGCCAGCAGCCGCGGUAAUACGUAGGGGGCGAGCGUUAUCCGGAUUUACUGGGUGUAAAGGGAGCGUAGACGGCCAUGCAAGCUCGGUGUGAAAGGUGCGGGCACAACCCGCAGACUGCACUGAGAACUGUAUGGCUGGAGUGCCGGAGGGGCAGGCGGAAUUCCUGGUGUAGCGGUGAAAUGCGUAGAUAUCAGGAGGAACACCGGUGGCGAAGGCGGCCUGCUGGACGGCGACUGACGUUGAGGCUCGAAAGCGUGGGGAGCGAACAGGAUUAGAUACCCUGGUAGUCCACGCCGUAAACGAUGU
RNAcentral lists this ribosomal RNA (681 nucleotides) under uncultured bacterium. RNAcentral's name for it is "bacterial SSU rRNA". It matches the Rfam family "Bacterial small subunit ribosomal RNA", at positions 126 to 812 of the family's 1533-position model. The record is from RNAcentral.